GACGAACGCUGGCGGCGUGCUUAACACAUGCAAGUCGAACGGUUAAGGGACCGGUUUUUGCUGGUUCUGGAUGAGUGGCGAACGGGUGAGUAACACGUGAGUAACCUGCCCCCUUCUUCUGGAUAACCGCAUGAAAGUGUGGCUAAUACGGGAUAUUCUGCGCCUGCUGCAUGGUGGGUGUGGGAAAGAUAUUGUUUCGGUGGGGGAUGGGCUCGCGGCCUAUCAGCUUGUUGGUGGGGUGAUGGCCUACCAAGGCGGUGACGGGUAGCCGGCCUGAGAGGGUGGACGGUCACACUGGGACUGAGACACGGCCCAGACUCAUACGGGAGGCAGCAGUGGGGAAUAUUGCACAAUGGGCGCAAGCCUGAUGCAGCGACGCCGCGUGAGGGAUGGAGGCCUUCGGGUUGUAAACCUCUUUCGCCAGUGAAGCAGGCCUGUCCCUUUUGUGGGUGGGUUGACGGUAGCUGGAGAAGAAGCGCCGGCUAACUACGUG
Molecule: ribosomal RNA, 493 nt
Filed under: uncultured bacterium
Lineage: Bacteria
Description: partial 16S ribosomal RNA
Rfam family: Bacterial small subunit ribosomal RNA
Source: RNAcentral